UGGGGAAUAUUGCACAAUGGGCGCAAGCCUGAUGCAGCCAUGCCGCGUGUGUGAAGAAGGCCUUCGGGUUGUAAAGCACUUUCAGCGAGGAGGAAGGUGGUGAACUUAAUACGUUCAUCAAUUGACGUUACUCGCAGAAGAAGCACCGGCUAACUCCGUGCCAGCAGCCGCGGUAAUACGGAGGGUGCAAGCGUUAAUCGGAAUUACUGGGCGUAAAGCGCACGCAGGCGGUUUGUUAAGUCAGAUGUGAAAUCCCCCGGGCUCAACCUGGGAACUGCAUUUGAAACUGGCAAGCUAGAGUCUCGUAGAGGGGGGUAGAAUUCCAGGUGUAGCGGUGAAAUGCGUAGAGAUCUGGAGGAAUACCGGUGGCGAAGGCGGCCCCCUGGACGAAGACUGACGCUCAGGUGCGAAAGCGUGGGGAGCAAACAGAUUAGAUACCCUGGUAGUCACGCCCUAAACGAUGUAACUAGUUGUUGGGGUUCAUUUUCCUUAGUAACGUAGCUAACGCGUGAAGUUGACCGCCUGGGGAGUACGGUCGCAAGAUUAAAAACUCAAAUAAUU
RNAcentral lists this ribosomal RNA (561 nucleotides) under uncultured bacterium. RNAcentral describes it as "partial 16S ribosomal RNA". It matches the Rfam family "Bacterial small subunit ribosomal RNA", at positions 355 to 910 of the family's 1533-position model. The record is from RNAcentral.